GUUGGGGGGGAGGGUGGGGGUUACUUUUUGCAGUGCUGGGGAACUUUUUCCCCUUUUUGAGGCCAGGCGAAAGGGAAUGCCCAAUCCAGAGAGACAUGGGGGCAAGAAGGACGGGAGUGGAGGAGCUUCUGGAACUUUGCAGCCGUCAUCGGGAGGUGGCAGCUCCAACAGCAGAGAGCGUCACCGCUUGGUGUCGAAGCACAAGCGGCAUAAAUCCAAGCACUCCAAAGACAUGGGGUUGGUGACCCCCGAAGCAGCACCUUUGGGUACAAUUAUCAAACCUUUGGUGGAGUAUGAUGACAUCAGCUCUGAUUCAGAUACCUUCUCUGACGAUAUGGCCUUCAAACUAGACAGGAGGGAGAAUGAUGAACGUCGUGGAACUGAUCGGAGUGACCGCCUGCACAAACAUCGUCACCACCAGCACAGACGUUCCCGGGACUUACUAAAAACUAAACAAACAGAAAAAGAAAAAAACCAGGAAGUCUCCAGCAAAUCGGGAUCGAUGAAGGACCGAGUAUCAGGAAGUUCAAAGCGUUCAAAUGAGGAGAAUGAGGACUAUGGGAAGGCACAGAUAUCCAAAAGCAGCAGCAACAAGGAAUCCAGGUCAUCCAAACUCCAUAAGGAGAAGACCCGGAAAGAACGUGAGUUGAAGUCUGGGCACAAAGACCGGAGUAAAAGUCAUCGGAAAAGGGAAACACCCAAAAGCUACAAAACAAUGGACAGCCCCAAACGGAGAUCCAGGAGUCCCCAUAGGAAAUGGUCUGACAGCCCCAAGCAAGAUGAUAGCCCCUCAGGAGCUUCUUAUGGCCAAGAUUAUGACCUUAGUCCCCCAAGAUCUCACACCUCUAGCAAUUAUGACUCCUACAAGAAGAGUCCUGGAAGUACCUCAAGAAGGCAGUCAAUUAGCCCGCCUUACAAGGAGCCUUCGGCCUACCAGUCCAGCACCCGGUCACCCAGUCCCUACAGUAGACGACAAAGAUCUGUGAGUCCCUAUAGUCGGAGACGUUCUUCCAGCUAUGAAAGGAGUGGCUCUUACAGUGGGAGAUCACCCAGUCCCUAUGGUCGAAGACGGUCCAGCAGCCCUUUCAUGAGCAAACGGUCUCUGAGUCGGAGUCCACUCCCCAGUAGGAAAUCCAUGAAGUCUAGAAGUAGAAGUCCCGCAUAUUCAAGACACUCAUCUUCUCAUAGUAAAAAGAAGAGAUCCGGGUCACGCAGUCGACAUUCCAGCAUCUCACCUGUCAGGCUUCCAUUGAAUUCCAGCUUGGGAGCUGAACUCAGUAGGAAAAAGAAGGAAAGAGCAGCUGCUGCUGCUGCAGCAAAAAUGGAUGGAAAGGAAUCCAAGGGUUCACCUAUAUUUUUGCCUAGGAAAGAGAACAGUUUAGUAGAGGCUAAGGAUUCAGGCUUGGAGUCUAAAAAGUUAACCAGAGGUGUAAAAUUGGAAAAAUCUGCCCCAGAUACUGAACUGGUGAAUGUACCACAUCUAAAUACAGAAGUCAAAAAUUCUUUAGAUACAGGGAAAGUAAAGUUGGAUGAGAACUCUGAGAAGCAUCCUAUUAAAGAUUUGAAAGCACAGGGAUCAAGAGACUCUAAACCCAUAGCAUUGAAAGAGGAGAUUGUUACUCCAAAAGAGGCAGAGACAUCAGAAAAGGAGACCCCUCCACCUGUCCCCACAGUUACUUCUCCUCCACCUCCUUUACCAACUACUACCCCUCCACCUCAAACACCCCCUUUGCCACCUUUGCCUCCACUACCAGCUGUUCCACAGCAACCUCCUCUGCCUCCUCCCCAACCAGCAUUUAGUCAGGUUCUUGCUUCUAGUACUUCAACUUUGCCCCCUUCUACUCACCCAAGGACAUCUACUUUGUCCUCUCAGGCAAAUUCUCAGCCCCUUGCACAGGUUUCUGUGAAGACUCAAGUAUCUGUAACAGCUGCUAUUCCACACCUAAAAACUUCAACGUUGCCUCCUCUGCCCCUCCCACCCUUACUACCAGGAGACGAUGACAUGGAUAGUCCAAAAGAAACUCCACCUUCAAAACCUGUAAAGAAAGAGAAGGAACAAAGGCCACGUCACUUACUCACGGACCUCCCUCUCCCUCCAGAACUUCCUGGUGGGGAUCCAUCUCCCCCAGACUCUCCAGAACCAAAGGCAGUUACACCACCUCAGCAACCAUAUAAAAAGAGACCAAAAAUUUGUUGUCCUCGUUAUGGAGAAAGAAGACAAACAGAAAGUGACUGGGGAAAACGCUGUGUAGACAAGUUUGACAUUAUUGGGAUUAUUGGAGAGGGAACCUAUGGCCAAGUAUAUAAAGCCAAGGACAAAGACACAGGAGAGCUAGUGGCCCUGAAAAAGGUGAGACUGGACAAUGAGAAGGAGGGCUUCCCAAUCACAGCCAUUCGUGAGAUCAAAAUCCUUCGUCAGCUAAUCCACCGAAGCGUUGUUAACAUGAAGGAAAUUGUUACAGAUAAACAAGAUGCACUGGAUUUCAAGAAGGACAAAGGUGCCUUUUACCUUGUAUUUGAGUAUAUGGACCAUGACUUAAUGGGACUGCUAGAAUCUGGUUUGGUGCACUUUUCUGAGGACCAUAUCAAGUCAUUCAUGAAACAGCUAAUGGAAGGAUUGGAUUACUGUCACAAAAAGAAUUUCCUGCAUCGGGAUAUUAAGUGUUCUAACAUUUUGCUGAACAACAGUGGGCAAAUCAAACUAGCAGAUUUUGGACUUGCACGGCUCUAUAACUCUGAAGAGAGUCGCCCUUAUACAAACAAAGUCAUCACUCUGUGGUACCGACCUCCAGAACUUCUGCUAGGAGAGGAGCGUUACACACCAGCCAUUGAUGUUUGGAGCUGUGGAUGCAUCCUUGGGGAACUGUUCACAAAGAAGCCUAUUUUUCAAGCCAAUCUGGAACUGGCUCAGCUAGAACUGAUCAGUCGACUCUGUGGUAGCCCUUGUCCAGCUGUGUGGCCUGAUGUUAUCAAGCUGCCCUACUUCAAUACCAUGAAACCGAAGAAGCAAUAUAGAAGGCGUCUGCGAGAAGAAUUCUCUUUCAUUCCUUCAGCAGCACUUGAUUUACUGGACCACAUGCUGACACUAGAUCCUAGCAAACGUUGCACAGCUGAACAGACUUUACAGAGUGACUUCCUUAAAGAUGUUGAGCUCAGCAAAAUGGAUCCUCCAGACCUCCCCCACUGGCAGGAUUGCCACGAAUUAUGGAGUAAGAAACGGCGACGACAGCGACAGAGUGGUGUUGUGAUAGAAGAGCCACCUCCAUCCAAAGCCUCUCGGAAAGAAACUACCUCAGGGACAAGUGCUGAGCCUGUGAAGAACAGCCCCCCAGCACCACCUCAGCCUGCUCCUGGCAAGGUGGAGCCUGGAACUGGGGAUGCAAUAGGCCUCGGUGACAUCACACAGCAGUUGAAUCAAAGUGAAUUGGCAGUGUUACUGAAUCUGCUGCAGAGCCAAACCGACCUGAGCAUCCCUCAAAUGGCUCAGCUGCUUAACAUCCACUCCAACCCAGAGAUGCAGCAGCAGCUGGAGGCCCUGAACCAAUCCAUCAAUGCCCUAACUGAAGCCACUUCCCAGCAGCAGGACUCAGAGCCCAUGGCCCCAGAGGAGUCUUUGAAGGAGGCACCUCCUGCCCUAGUGGUCCAGCCUUCAGCAGAACAGACAACCUCUGAAGCUUCAAGCACACCAGCUGACAUGCAGAAUAUGUUGGCAGUUCUUUUGAGUCAGCUGAUGAAAACCCAGGAGCCCACAGGCAGCCUGGAGGAAAACAACAGUGACAAGAACAGUGGGCCACAGGUGCCCCGAAGAACUCCCACAAUGCCACAGGAGGAGGCAGCAGCAUGUCCUCCUCACAUUCUUCCACCAGAGAAGAGGCCCCCUGAGCCCCCCGGACCUCCACCGCCGCCACCUCCACCCCCUCUGGUUGAAGGCGAUCUUUCCAGCGCCCCCCAGGAGUUGAACCCAGCCGUGACAGCCGCCUUGCUGCAACUUUUAUCCCAGCCUGAAGCAGAGCCUCCUGGCCACCUGCCACAUGAGCACCAGGCCUUGAGACCAAUGGAAUACUCCACCCGACCCCAUCCCAACAGGACUUACGGAAACACUGAUGGGCCUGAAACAGGGUUCAGUGCCACUGACACUGAUGAACGCAACUCUGGUCCAGCUUUGACAGAAUCCUUGACCCAGACCCUGGUGAAGAACAGGACCUUCUCAGGCUCUGUGAGCCACCUUGGGGAGUCCAGCAGUUACCAGGGCACAGGGUGGCAGCAGCGGCAGGAAGGAUGGCCCUUGAGGAAUUUGGUGAAGUCCGUCAGUCACCUGGCAUCUGGAGCCCUGAAAAGUUCAGUCUUUCAUACACUCUAAAGCCAGAUUUGAUGGGAGCUCCCACCUGUCCAGACACUAUUCAAGAUACCAGAAGUAGAGACCUACAAGCCUGCUUCUCUCCAUCCUCAUUGCCCAGAACCAGGAAGGUCAUGAGCUUCCAGUGCUCACCCCCACCCUUCUUGCUGCCAGAUGUGGAAAUGGAGACCCAGAGAGGAAAAUCAGUUGAAUCCUGUCCUGGAGUUGCUUUGUGUUCCUGGCUUUGGAGAGUUCCUGGGAACCCAAGGAAAGCUAGCUCCACUCCUGGCCACCUCAUCCCUUUGAGUCUGAGAAGAUAUGGUAAGUAGUUGUCUGUUCCCUACACUUUUUCUUCCUCUCUUCCUGGAGCCUGGAGUCCAGAAAGAUUGCUGAGCCUUUGCUGGGAAAGAGGAACAGACUUGAAGUAAGUGGGAGGCAGAGGUAGCAGCACCCAGAAUGACCUGCACUUUGGAGAAAAAGGAGCUCUGUAUUGGCCCAUGGUUUAGCUUUUACUCUGAUGGGACUCCUCCUUUUCUCCUUCUCCCUCAGUGUGUCCCAUGGGUUGGUGAGAGAUCUGGAUGUCUGAACCUCCCACCUGACACCUCGAAGGUUGUUAUACAUAUCCGCUCUCUAGCUCCCGAAGCCAUGGAGGAGGGGAAGGAAGGCAUCUCAGAGGUGGCAGCACCCAGGGAGGCCAAAGAGAAGAAACAGUGACCAGAGGGGGAGCCAGGAGGAGAUGCCUGCUCUUGAAAAACCCUCUUUAUCCCAUCCUCUCUGGCACCCCCUCUCACAUGCUGACAAGGCUGUGUGCCCAAGUGUAUCAGUUCUCCUGGCUGGCAAUUCUGCUCUGCCGUGCAGGCAUCCGGUUCUCUGCUCCGGCACAGAGCACAUGCUGGGCUCUCUCACACUCCUUUGCUCACUCAUCUCAACGUGUCUGUGUUGCAGAUUCCUAAGGAUGAAAGAGGAGGCUGUGGUCCUGUGAGUAGGAAGAUGGUGAGCUUGGGGCCCUUUGGGUGCAUAUCUGCCUCGCUGAAGGGCAAGGACGGAGAAGGCUGCUGGCAGCUCAGCUGAGCUCAGGGUUCUGGUGACUCAUAGUAAUGGGGGCAACUCAUGAAAACAUCAGAGGGGAAGGGGGUCCAGGCUUGUUAGAGCUCUCUUUUGCCCCAGUUCUCCCCAACUCUGAGCUAUGUGGAUGAAGUUCUCUCAUCUGGAUUGUGGGGCAAGGAGAGGCUCCAGCUAUGAAAGGGCUGGGAAUGCUCAACCUCCCUUAAUCAUUCCCAGAAAGAGGCUUCCCAUUGAGAAAAGGAUAGGAGAGGCCAGUAGUAUCCUCUGACCAUAGUCCCAGGGGGGUUAAGUCCUUUGUUUCAGCAAAGGGAAACAGGGAUCGUUGGUACUAGCGUAUCCAGAUAAUAGCACCCUCCCUCUGACGUCGGUGAAGGAUGGGCUGAGUAAGAGGAGGAGAGUUCUCUCGCAGAGCCCAUUUUCAUUUGCCUAUUUCAUUGCUGGCAGCCCUGCUUUCCAGCUUGGGGUGGUGGAGGGGGUGCUCUCUGUCAGGUUGCUUCUGGAGAUCCAGAGAUGGUUUUGGUUGGAGAAAGUGAUAGACCAGCCACUUUUCACUCUUCACUCUUCCUCUAGGGAGACGAGACCAUCUCUACUCCCCCCAGCUCUCCCUGGCAGCAUUGGGAGCCCAGGGUCCCCUGCUGGAAUACCCAUAAUAAAGCUCAGUCCUGAACUGAACCAACACAUCACCUGGCUCUGGUAUAAAAAUGGUGCUGUGAGGGGGAGCCUGGGUGCACCAGGUGGGUAUAGACAGGUGUGGGGAGUUUAGACCCAGGAGAGAUCCUAGAAUCACUCCUCAAUACCACAUGCUCCUCCUCUUUCUCAAACUUUCUCCUUGGCCUCCCUUUUCUUCUACCUCCCUUCAGCUAGCUCCACUCCUGGCCACCUCAUCCCUUUGAGUCUGAGAAGAUAUGCUUGGAUCAAAUCCAAGAGACCAAGGGGACUGAAACAUCUUAGUCAUGGCCUCAACAGAACUGGGGAACAAGAAGCUCCUCCAACCUCUCCUGACCUAGGACCGUUCAUGAAAGGGUACCAUGUCAUAUAUUCAGCUGUCCCUACGGGAAAUAAGAGUUUGAAGAGGGAUCAGAUUUUAGCAAAAAAGAUAGAAGGUAGACAUAUGGAAAAACUUAUUCAUGGGAUAUAAAACUUCAGAAUGGGCCUACUUCAGAGAUUUUUUUUUUUUUUUCCUGCCUGGGAUAGGUUUAAGUCUGUGCCUAUCAAGGGGAAUUGAAAAAACAGGAUUACUUUUCUGUGGCUUCUCCAGAUGGGGGCCUCAGUGCAUUUCUUCACUAGCUCUGGGAGUACACCCCUUCUCGGUCCUUCUAAAGGUAGUAGCUGAUGGUUAGAUCACAAGUUUGAGAGGCAGGAAGCCUUGGGUUCUACCACCAGCACUGCCAUUAACCAACUGUGCUAUCUUGGUAAGUCACUUAACCUCUCCGAGCCCUAGUUUCCUUGUCUGUAAAAUUCAGAUAAACAACCUCUUAAGGUUGUGGAGAGCAUUUAGUGAAGUAAUGUCUGUAAAGCACCUAGGACAUUGCCUCAUACUCAGUAGGUGCUCAGUGGUUGAUACAAUAAAUAGUCUGUUACUCUUAUGGAGUCACCAGGGCUGACAUUGCUUCAACGACUCCAGGAGUCCUCUGAAAUUACAGGCCAAAUAAGUGAAUGCAUGUAUGCUGGGAAGAAUGUCCAUGAUUGUCUUCAUGAUGUGAAGCAGGGGGGUGGCAGUCUCCUGGAAAGGAAAUAGCCCCAGUCCCUUGACUCAGACUGUGCCAUUCCCAUGCCUCAAACCAGGAGCUUCAUCAUCUAAGAUGGGGCUAUGAGAGACAGCCACUAGGAUAGCAACCCCAGGCACUUUACAGUUUGUCAAGUACAUUUACCUACAUUAGCUCUUUUAAUACCCAGUAUAUCCCAGUAAGGUGAAGAGAACUACCAUUUACUGAAUGCCUAUUAUGUGCCAGGCAUUGUGCUGGAUAUAUUUUUUUUAAGUAUGUUUAAAGUCUGUGGAGUAUUAUCACCUAAACAUGUCCUGAUUUACAAGGCUAAUCCCCUAUUUUUAAUCAUUUAGGUAUUUUACUCUUAUAAAUAAUACCAGAAUGAACAUUCUAACACAUAAACCUUCAUGCAUUUUUUUAAAAGAUUUUAUUUAUUUAUUUGUCAGAGAGA
This is a non-coding RNA of Leptonychotes weddellii (Weddell seal), 7558 nucleotides long. NCBI's taxonomy places the organism in Eukaryota, Metazoa, Chordata, Mammalia, Carnivora, Phocidae. The record is from RefSeq and is a predicted model, not a curated record.